Microtus oregoni (creeping vole) is the source of this 705-nucleotide long non-coding RNA. RefSeq lists it as uncharacterized. The transcript has 4 exons. Lineage: Eukaryota; Metazoa; Chordata; Mammalia; Rodentia; Cricetidae. The record is from RefSeq and is a predicted model, not a curated record.
GGGGAGGGGAUGCUUGAUUUCGAAGGAGAGGGACAGCCUGCACAAAACAGCCUGUGGUCGGAGUCAGAGCAGCCUGCUCCAGAAUGCGCGCUCCCUCUCCCGCUCUCCUCCCAGCAAACGCAGAACGAGAAUGAUCAUCUUUUCUCCAGCACCGGGUUGUUUACCCUGCCUGCUCCCCACCCUCUGCAUAAAUGCCUCCAGUGACAUGGACCAGGAGGAACCACUUCAGAGACCCCGAGGAUAAAGAUACACACCCGACUUCCUUGACAGUUUCUCAUUCUUCAACCGAAAGGCAGCCGCACACUUAUGAAUAAAAUACGAAGCUAAUAAGUAAAUGUGUGUUACUCUGGGAAAUUAAAAGUGGGUUCCUCGGAGAGUUCAAAGUGUUCCAACAUGCACCUUGAGUUACAAAGUAGCCACAACCUGCUUCAUACUUUUGGAAAGAAUUGUUCUGCCCUAAGGACAACUGUAUGUGCUGUGUCUCCAGCCAUCUAUCCUCAACAAGCUGGCUUCUACAUACCAUCUGGGGCAUUACUAGCUAUAAUGUGGGAAUGAAGCAAACCAACGCAGAGGCAGAUGCAGAGACCCUGGACAACUGUUCUUGGAAGAAUAUGUCCUCUGAUUCCUGUCCACCCCAUGCUCCACGCACAUAUUCUUAACACUGUGAGAUGUACGGCCAUGCACAAGUUGCUCCUUCAAAGUUAG